GUAGGGAAUCUUCCACAAUGGACGAAAGUCUGAUGCAGUGACGCGGCGUGAGUGAAGAAGUAUUUCGGUACGUAAAGCUCUAUCAGCAAGGAAGAAAAUGACGGUACUUGACUAAGAAGCCACGGCUAACUACGUGCCAGCAGCCGCGGUAAUACGUAGGGGGCAAGCGUUAUCCGGAUUUACUGGGUGUAAAGGGAGCGUAGACGGUAUGGUAAGUCAGAUGUGAAAGCCCGGGGCUCAACCCCGGGACUGCAUUUGAAACUAUCAGACUAGAGUGCAGGAGAGGUAAGUGGAAUUCCUAGUGUAGCGGUGAAAUGCGUAGAUAUUAGGAGGAACACCAGUGGCGAAGGCGGCUUACUUGACUGUAACUGACGUUGAGGCUCGAAAGCGUGGGGAGCAAACAGGAUUAGAUACCCCAGUAGUCC
This 425-nucleotide ribosomal RNA is filed under the name uncultured bacterium. RNAcentral describes it as "partial 16S ribosomal RNA". It matches the Rfam family "Bacterial small subunit ribosomal RNA", at positions 354 to 796 of the family's 1533-position model. The record is from RNAcentral.